Long non-coding RNA from Myxocyprinus asiaticus (Chinese sucker), 2277 nucleotides. RefSeq lists it as uncharacterized. The transcript has 4 exons. NCBI's taxonomy places the organism in Eukaryota, Metazoa, Chordata, Actinopteri, Cypriniformes, Catostomidae. The record is from RefSeq and is a predicted model, not a curated record.
UUAAUUAAGAUCAUGUAAACUAUCUUAAAGCUGUUAUUUACAAGCAUAACUAUUACAUUUACAUUUUGUGGCAGGUUAAGAAUGCAGUGUCAAAGGGACUGACUGGGAUGUCGUGCACAGACGAGCAGCAGCACUGGAACUCAGGGACGCAGCGGAAUUUAGCCCCGAAGAGGCUGGCCGAGAUACACUAUAUUGCCAAAAGUAUUCGCUCAUCUGCCUUUAGACGCAUAUGAACUUAAGUGACAUGCCAUUCUUAAUCCAUAGGGUUUAAUAUGACGUCGGUCCACCCUUUGCAGCUAUAACAGCUUCAACUCUUCUGGGAAGGCUUUCCACAAGGUUUAGGAGUGUGUUUAUGGGAAUUUUUGACCAUUCUUCCAGAAGCGCAUUUGUGAGGUCAGACACUGAUGUUGGACGAGAAGGCCUGGCUCACAGUCUUCGCUCUAAUUCAUCCCAAAGGUGCUCUAUCGGGUUGAGGUCAGGACUCUGUGCAGGCCAGUCAAGUUCUUCCACACCAAACUCGCUCAUCCAUGUCUUUAUGGACCUUGCUUUGUGCACUGGUGCGCAGUCAUGUUGGAACAGGAAGGGGCCAUCCCCAAACUGUUCCCACAAAGUUGGGAGCAUGGAAUUGUCCAAAAUCUCUUGGUAUGCUGAAGCAUUCAGAGUUCCUUUCACUGGAACUAAGGGGCCAAGCCCAGCUCCUGAAAAACAACCCCACACCAUAAUCCCCCCUCCACCAAACUUCACAGUUGGCACAAUGCAGUCAGACAAGUACCGUUCUCCUGGCAACCGCCAAACCCAGACUCGUCCAUCAGAUUGCCAGAUGGAGAAGCGUGAUUCAUCACUCCAGAGAACGCGUCUCCACUGCUCUAGAGUCCAGUGGCGGCGUGCUUUACACCACUGCAUCCGACGCUUUGCAUUGCACUUGGUGAUUUAUGGCUUGGAUGCAGCUGCUCGGCCAUGGAAACCCAUUCCAUGAAGCUCUCUACGCACUGUUCUUGAGCUAAUCUGAAGGCCACAUGAACUUUGGAGGUCUGUAGCGAUUGACUCUGCAGAAAGUUGGCGACCUCUGCGCACUAUGCGCCUCAGCAUCCGCUGACCCUGCUCUGUCAUUUUACGUGGCCUACCACUUCGUGGCUGAGUUGCUGUCAUUCCCAAUCGCUUCCACUUUGUUAUAAUACCACUGACAGUUGACUGUGGAAUAUUUAGUAGCGAGGAAAUUUCACGACUGGACUUGUUGCACAGGUGGCAUCCUAUCACAGUACCACGCUGGAAUUCACUGAGCUCCUGAGAGCGGCCCAUUCUUUCACAAAUGUUUGUAGAAGCAGUCUGCAUGCCUAGGUGCUUCAUUUUAUACACCUGUGGCCAUGGAAGUGAUUGGAACACCUGAAUUCAAUUAUUUGGAUGGGUGAGCGAAUACUUUUGGCAAUAUAGUGUAUGUUUUAAACACCACAAAUUUAUGGAUGACUUACCUGAGACUUCAGCUGCUGUUUUUAAGUCAUCAACACCAACUCCUGCUUUCAACUCCCACAGCGAGCAGAGGAAAUCAGAGGUUCAUAUACCUGUAGGUAGCCUUCUGCACAAAUGCAUGUCAGCUGAACCAGAAUUUGUACCAACAGGCACCACACAGCAGCAGCAGCCUCAUGGUUCCAUGGCAAUUAUCCUACAAGGUAUAGUCAGGAGAAUGAGGAAUUGGCUUGUGCAUGGAUUUAGAGCUCUGGGUAUGCUGUUGAGAGGAGAGGACUGGUUGUUAGCUGUAAGGAGCCGUGGCUUUCUGCAAGCCCAGAUGGAAUAUUAAACUCCUCAGAGCUGCUGGAAUCAAGUGUCCUUUUUUGAGCAGAAACUGCACACAUCUAGCGGAACUGUUCUCUGGCAAGCUCACUGACUUGAAGAUUGUGGAUAGCAUACCUCAGCUACAACCCAAAGGACCCUGUGGGUACUACCUCCAAGUGCAACUAGAAUUGUAGAUGAGUUUGAUUGCGGAAGACUUGUGCUUUGCCAUAAGUACGCUGACAUGUGCAACUGUGGAGACAAGAGUUGCCUUGCACAACACCCACAAGGCUGUUGCUUAUCUAACAAGUAACUCAAACAUACAGUGUUGAGGGGGUUAGAACUGUCAAAAGGGUGGGGGCGCUAACCCAAGAGAGAAACAAAUUAUACUGUGUGCAUCAGCAUGUCAGAGGUGCAGAAUGAUUGAGCCCAGCUACAUCUUGGGGCCUAUAUAUGCUGAGGAGGUUGGAGGCUCAUUACUCAUUACCUGUGAGAAUUCUCUGUAUGUUA